Molecule: long non-coding RNA, 1343 nt
Organism: Stegodyphus dumicola
Lineage: Eukaryota; Metazoa; Arthropoda; Arachnida; Araneae; Eresidae
Source: RefSeq, a predicted model, not a curated record
UCUUCCUCGGUACGCUAAUCUGAAGCUAGAUAGAUGGAAUGAUCCAUUUAGUUACUAAGGACAGAGUUACACUUUUAACCUAUUUGGCUCAACUUUUGCGAUAGAGACCUUCGUUAUCGAGUCCACAAUAAUAAUAGGAUUUAGCAUUAGAAGGAAUUAGUUUAGCAUUAUUAGAUGAUGACGAUUUUUAUGUUUUAGGACUUUACCCUUGAAAAGUCUGAAGAUUAAACUAUAUUGCUUAGUGGCUGGAUAUUUUUAUUUAUGCAAACAAGAACAAUCACCAUCAACAAUUGAAUCCGGUGCAGAGCAGAUGUUAAAAACAGAGCAGAACUUAAGAAUGGAAGUGGUCACGAAUCCCGUACCUGCUGUUUUCGUUCUUCUGCUUGGAGCAUUGUUUAUCGUCCUGUUCAUCAGCUGGUGUUGCAAACAAUGCAGUCGAUCCAAAGAUGGUGACAGUUUAAUCGUCGCUCCAAAUGUUCGCAGGCGAUAUAUCACCGCAAUAGAUGUGCAAACUGGAUUGCCAGUGAUAAUACACACCUCAGCCUUAUUAGGCAGUAGCAAUGGAAGACCUCUAAGAACGCCAACAAGGAUGACUGGACCAUGUAACUCAAGCAGUAAUUCAACGUUAUAUGGCACUAUCUUAUAUGAGGAACCACAAUUAUGUGCAGACAUGCCGUGUAGAACGCCACCUCCACCGUAUUCUGAGAUUCAUUUACCAAGAGUGUGACAGCUAUGAAAUUUUAAGAAAGGAUUUGAAUUUUAUUAUAUGGCCUGUAUUGGAUACAGGCAACAUCAGUUUUGUUCAACAGAAAUUUAAAAAUGCGGACGGCUAAAUAUGCCUUCCUUAUGUGCUAAAGUUGUGAGACAACACCACAAGAUUUAUUUUUCUCUGUUUGGUAUAGCUGUGGAACAUCUGGCGUGGUACCCAAUGUAUCAUCAUCAAUGUUAUACUAAGGCGCAAUAUCUUUUGCGCUGUAAAAUGCUCAACUACAUAUGGAAUGUGAAUACUUAUGCUCAUUGUAUGUUCAUUUUAAACACUUCUAGACUUUAACACUGGAGUAAUUCGCUUUGUUAUGUGAAUUGUGAGCUACAGCAUACAUUGCAAGUGGUUGGGAAAUGUAAAAUUUUCAGAGAGAGUGUUUUAUUUUAGAGGGGAAAACGGAAUAAAGCUUAAAUAUUCUUCUCUGGUACUGACAACAUGGUGUUUACAGAUUACAUUCACGUGCUGAUUACAUGUACUAUAUCUAAAUAGCUAGCAUUAUGUGAUCAAUAAUUAUUUUUUAUUAAAAAAUAAUAAGUAUACCAUUAUUUGAUAUAGGUAAUAAAUUUUUGUAGUUAAUUAA